GUUUAUUCCUCAUUCUCCAAUAGGCCGCCUCAUCUUCUCUCUUCUUCCAUAUUUGAGAAAAUCCAAUUCUCCUCUUCCUCUAAGCUAUAAAAGGCCUCACCAUUUCUAGCAAAGCUUGAAUUCGGAUAGAUCUCUGUCCAGUUUUAGCCGUGGAGGAGAUUUACUUGGAUUUAAUCGUGCUGUUUUGUUUGUGAGGAAGGUCGGAUUGCGUCGGAUCUAAGACCCCGCACCCCAGUUCAUUGCAUCCAAAAAAGGUUAGUCUGGUUCUUUUAAUCUCGUUUUUGUUUUAUAUUUAAGAUGUAAAACCUGAAUGUAUUUUAUUUUCUUUUGCAUUUAACGAGUGCUUUUAGUAUCUAAAAUCCAUUGUUUAAUUUUGGUCGAGGAAUGUCAUUUUCUGUGUGAUUAGGAAGCACUGAUUUAGGGAUGCCUCUUGUCUCGAAUAAUGUUGGAGCUUAUAUUCAGUGUUCGCUGUCUUGUUGAUAAAAAUAUUAAAUUUUCAUAAGCAUAUGUUUUGUAUUCAAGAUAUUGAUGUAGGAAUUUCCUCUACAUGCUUCUUGUUUCACCUAGUGUAAUAUUUCACGAACAUGAAUUCUUCUGUGUUGUCUUGUGCCUAAGUCUUCAAAUAUGGAUAUGGUAAUUUCCUUUGUGAAACUUUUGUGUAGCCUAUGUCCUUAUAUUAUUCAUAUCUCAUAAAACAUAUUUUGAGUUUCAAAAAACUAUGAGAAUUCUGUUUAUACCCUUUUGUGCUCGAAAGUUUUUUACAUAUCAUGAUUUUAGUUUAUUAUACCAUGCUCUCUCUGGAUCCUUGCAUUUAAAGUCCUCUUUUCAUGAACCUGUUUAAGCUAAAAUACCAUCAUUUGAUAAAAGAGAGCAUGAACAUGGGGAUUAUUUUGUGUUAACAUUAUGACUUAUAGCAUCUCUUACAUAGUUAUAGGAAGAGGUAUAUCAAAUUAGCUAGCGAAAUGUUAAUUGAUUAUGGGACUUGAAUUAAGUUUGUUGAACAUUAAUGGUCCAGGACUUGAAGUAAAAUACGAUGGUCAAUUUACUUAAGAAUGUUACCGCAUCAAAUGUAAUUGUAUUUUAGUGACAUAUAUUAUAUGUUUUUUAUCAAUCGGGACUGCCCGCUAAUCUUCUUUAUAUCCCCUUCUUUUACAUGUACACUUUGGAGCAAAUGAAGUCUUAAUUCGGGACUCUCUCAAAACUCGAAGUCUUAACCCAAGUCUCUCCUAUUAUCCGAGCAUGGAGUCAAUUCCGCAGAGUUUCUUUUAAGUGCAUCGAAUCUCCAAGAGGAACGAGCAACUUUCGCUUCGGGCCUCCCAUGACAAUCUUUCAUCUACCGGUCAUUCUAUUUUCAUUAUUUUUGUUGACUUGUGUAUGUUUGGGUUUAUCCCAGUUUUGGAAUUUUAGGAUAAAUUUAUAGCAGUUAAUACACAGGUUUUAAUUUUAUCA
This is a long non-coding RNA of Lycium barbarum (goji berry), 1449 nucleotides long. RefSeq lists it as uncharacterized. The record is from RefSeq and is a predicted model, not a curated record. The transcript has 2 exons. Lineage: Eukaryota; Viridiplantae; Streptophyta; Magnoliopsida; Solanales; Solanaceae.